This 294-nucleotide unclassified non-coding RNA is filed under the name Hevea brasiliensis (rubber tree). Lineage: Eukaryota; Viridiplantae; Streptophyta; Magnoliopsida; Malpighiales; Euphorbiaceae. The record is from RNAcentral.
AUUAUAUCCAAACUGAAUUACUCUUGGCCAAUCAGAAUUUUCCAAUAGUAGAGGCUAUUUAUACCUACAAUAUGUCAAGUACAAACAUGUAGAAAAGCACAGCAUAGUGCAAGGCUCCCACCAUCAUGGGGUUUUGGAGAGGAUUAGAUGCAAGCAAACUUCCAUUUUGGAGAUUGAAGAGAUUGUCAGAAUACAAAUCCUUGAGCAUAUCUCAUUUCAAAAGUAUGAUGAUAUAUUCCAAUAUGAUGAUAUAUUCCAAUGUCUAACGCAAAUCUUACUGUUUCACCAUCAUCA